Molecule: microRNA precursor, 217 nt
Filed under: Linum usitatissimum (flax)
Lineage: Eukaryota; Viridiplantae; Streptophyta; Magnoliopsida; Malpighiales; Linaceae
Description: miR393d stem-loop (lus-MIR393d)
Gene: lus-MIR393d
Rfam family: mir-393 microRNA precursor family (bases 38-153)
Source: miRBase by way of RNAcentral
CUUCUCCAUCUGUUCUUCGUCAGCUUUGAUUAGUGCAGUUUGAGAGUUCCAAAGGGAUCGCAUUGAUCUAAUCAUGAUGAUGAUAUAUAUAUCUAUAUAUCUUCCACCAGUUAGUUAAUUGUUAGAUCAUGCGAUCCCUUUCGAAUUCUCCAUCUCUGCCUCUAAACUACAUACCCAGCUAAGAAGCUAGCUAGCAGCAGAUUAUAUACUGGUAAAG